Molecule: ribosomal RNA, 460 nt
Filed under: uncultured bacterium
Lineage: Bacteria
Description: partial 16S ribosomal RNA
Rfam family: Bacterial small subunit ribosomal RNA
Source: RNAcentral
CCUACGGGUGGCAGCAGUGAGGAAUAUUGGUCAAUGGGCGCGAGCCUGAACCAGCCAAGUAGCGUGAAGGAUGACUGCCCUACGGGUUGUAAACUUCUUUUAUAAAGGAAUAAAGUGAGGUACGUGUGCCUGUUUGUAAGUACCUUAUGAAUAAGGAUCGGCUAACUCCGUGCCAGCAGCCGCGGUAAUACGGAGGAUCCGAGCGUUAUCCGGAUUUAUUGGGUUUAAAGGGUGCGUAGGUGGGUUGUUAAGUCAGAUGUGAAAUGUUGCGGCUCAACCGUAAAAUUGCAAUUGAUACUGGUAGUCUUGAGUAUAGUUGAGGUAGGCGGAAUUCGUGGUGUAGCGGUGAAAUGCUUAGAUAUCACGCAGAACACCGAUUGCGAAGGCAGCUUACUAAACUGCCACUGACGUUGAUGCUCGAAAGUGUGGGUAGCAAACAGGAUUAGAUACCCGAGUAGUC